Molecule: long non-coding RNA, 545 nt
Organism: Dendronephthya gigantea
Lineage: Eukaryota; Metazoa; Cnidaria; Anthozoa; Malacalcyonacea; Nephtheidae
Exons: 3
Source: RefSeq, a predicted model, not a curated record
UUUCAUUGUUAAAAGGUUCAAAACUCAACCAAUCAAAAACGUUUAUACUAAUUAGCGACAAAAAUCAUAAUAACGGAAAACGUUUGAAAACUUAGAAGGGUGUAAGCUGAUCUUAGUGAAAACCGGCUGUCUUCUAACUUCGUAACUAUAAGCUUGUCUGAAAUAUUUUGAAGAAAGCGGUAAAAGGCUAAAACGCAUAAUUGUAGUUAUGUCGUCGCCUUGUGGGUUUGGAUUUUCAUCCUCGGCGUCGCCGUCCACUCUUGAGAGAGAGAAAUAGAAGCCAGUUCGCCUAUCGGUAUUGGCUUCAGCAGUGACCAUGAGAACACGAGGAGUCCGCAAAGUGUGACGAGCUUUCCUGGGGAUUUUACGACUCCUGCAUGUUCACUCACAGCUACCUAGCCUGUACUCUUCGCCUGUUGGAAUUGGAUUUAGCAGCAGUGACAACGAAAUCACACUAAGUCCGCUAAACGAUAAAGGGUAACUUUCUACCAGUUGGCCAUACACAUGAAGACAUUGAUGCAUUAUUUGGCUGUUUUUCAAAGCAU